GAUGAACGCUAGCGGCAGGCCUAAUACAUGCAAGUCGGACGGUAAAUGGCCCUUCGGGGCUAUGAGAGUGGCGCACGGGUGCGUAACGCGUAUGCAACCUACCCAAUGCUGGAGGAUAGCCCGGAGAAAUUCGGAUUAAGCCUUCAUGAGGAGCGGAGAGGACAUCCUUUCUGUUUCAAAUAUUUAUAGGCGUUGGAUGGGCAUGCGUGCUAUUAGAUAGUUGGCGGGGUAACGGCCCACCAAGUCGACGAUCAGUAGCCGGUCUGAGAGGAUGAACGGCCACAUUGGGACUGAGAUACGGCCCAGACUCCUACGGGAGGCAGCAGUGGGGAAUAUUGGGCAAUGGGGGAAACCCUGACCCAGCAACGCCGCGUGAAGGAAGAAGGCCUUCGGGUU
RNAcentral lists this ribosomal RNA (396 nucleotides) under uncultured bacterium. RNAcentral's name for it is "bacterial SSU rRNA". It matches the Rfam family "Bacterial small subunit ribosomal RNA", at positions 28 to 424 of the family's 1533-position model. The record is from RNAcentral.